GCUAAACAGCUAGCUUAAUUACCUAAAUACCUAAAACAACAUUACAACAUUUAAAAAACCUACAAUACUCCAAACUAAAACAUUCUACCGCCUUAGUAUGUGUGACAGAAAGGGCACCACAAAGCAAUAAUAAAAGUACCGCAAGGCGAACGCUGCAGAGAAGUGAAACAAAUAAUUAAAGCACAACAAAGCAGAGACUAGACCUCGUACCUUUUGCAUCAUGAUUUACCCAGCCCCAAGAGCAAAGCGCACUUUAGUUCAAGCGCCCGAAACUAAGUGAGCUAGCCCGAGACAGCCUAUUAAUUAGGGCCAACCCGUCUCUGUGGCAAAAGAGUGGGAAGAUCUGCGGGUAGAGGUGAAAAACCUACCGAACUUAGUAUAGCUGGUUGCCUGAGAAAAUAGGGAGUUCAGCCUCGUACUCCUCAUCUCACAAAUACCUUAUCCUUAACGAGCCCGAGAAACCUACGAGAGUUAGUCAAAGGGGGUACAGCCCCUUUGAAACAGGACACAACCUCACCAGGAGGCUUAAAAAUUAUACUAAAUAAGAUACGCCGCUCCAGUGGGCCUAAAAGCAGCCAUCUGGACAGAAAGCGUUAGAGCUCCGGCAGACUACGAUCUAUUAUUAAAAUGUUUUAUCUUAAACCCCUAAUCAUAUUAGGCGAAUCCAUGCCCGCAUGCGAUGAGAUACUGCUAAAAUGAGUAAUAAGAAGGAACCCCCCUUCUCCUAGCCUACGUGUACGCUAAGUUGGACCUACGACUAGCAAUUAGGGCAACCCAAUUAAGGAGGGCAUUGCUGGUUAUAUUGGAUAUCGAGAAAUCUCCAUACAGGUGCAUCGUUAACCCCACACCGGAAGGCAGCCAUAGGAAAGACCGAAAGAAAAGGAGGGAACUGGGCAAACAUAAGCCUCGCGGUAUACCAAAAACAUCACCUCCUGCAAAAAUCAACGUAUAGGACGUCUUACCUGCCCAGUGACAUGUUAAACGGCCGCGGAUAUUUUGACCGUGCGAAGGUAGCGCAAUCACUUGUCUCUUAAAUGGCGACCUGUAUGAAUGGUGGAACGAGGGCUUAGCGAGUCUCCCCUUUCAGGUCAAUGAAAUUGAUCUGCCCGGUGCAGAAGCGGACAUACACCUACAAGACGAGAAGACCCUUUGGAGCUUAAGAUACAAGAUCAACUACGUCAAGAACCCAGUUGAACUAAGUAGCACCUGAUCCCAAUCUUCUGUUGGGGCGACCACGGGAGAAAAUAAAGCUCCCACGCGGACUGGGGCAACGCCCUACAACCAAGAGUGACAACUCUAAGUCGCAGAAUCUCUGACCAAAAAAUCCGGCUGCCUGCCGACCAACGAACCAAGUAACCCUAGACAUAACAGCGCAAUCCCCUUUCAGACUCCAUAUCGACAAGGGGGUUUACGCCCUCGAUGUUGGAUCCGGAGAUCCUAAUGGUGCAGCCGCUAUUAAGGGUUCGUUCGUUCAACGAUUAGGGUCCUACGUGAUCUGAGUUCAGACCGGAGCAAUCCAAGUCAGUUUCUAUCUGUAAUGCCACUUCCCCCAGUACGAAAGGACCGGAAAGAGGGGGGCCCAUACUAUAAGCACGCCCGAACCCAACGUUAAUGACAUCAACUCAAUUCAACAACGGGGGGCACAAUCCCACAUCAAGAUAAGAUU
RNAcentral lists this ribosomal RNA (1666 nucleotides) under Ameiurus melas (black bullhead). Its description in RNAcentral is "16S ribosomal RNA". It matches the Rfam family "Bacterial large subunit ribosomal RNA". The record is from RNAcentral. Lineage: Eukaryota; Metazoa; Chordata; Actinopteri; Siluriformes; Ictaluridae.